UCAGUAACACGUAGUCAACAUGCCCAAAGGACGUGGAUAACCUCGGGAAACUGAGGAUAAACCGCGAUAGGCCAAGGUUUCUGGAAUGAGCCAUGGCCGAAAUCUAUAUGGCCUUUGGAUUGGACUGCGGCCGAUCAGGCUGUUGGUGAGGUAAUGGCCCACCAAACCUGUAACCGGUACGGGCUUUGAGAGAAGGAGCCCGGAGAUGGGCACUGAGACAAGGGCCCAGGCCCUAUGGGGCGCAGCAGGCGCGAAACCUCUGCAAUAGGCGAAAGCCUGACAGGGUUACUCUGAGUGAUGCCCGCUAAGGGUAUCUCUUUGGCACCUCUAAAAACGGUGCCAGAAUAAGGGGUGG
Molecule: ribosomal RNA, 355 nt
Filed under: unidentified archaeon
Lineage: Archaea
Description: bacterial SSU rRNA
Rfam family: Archaeal small subunit ribosomal RNA
Source: RNAcentral